Molecule: long non-coding RNA, 488 nt
Filed under: Canis lupus familiaris (dog)
Lineage: Eukaryota; Metazoa; Chordata; Mammalia; Carnivora; Canidae
Description: lncRNA (ENSCAFG00000051117.1)
Source: RNAcentral
UGUCAGUGUGGAUCUUAUUCCCCUGUCCUUAUGUUCCCGUGAGAGAUCUUUUGCUCUACUCCCCAGGAGGAAGUAGUAUCAGAAAAACAUUUUAAGGUAUUCUCUUCAUCUCUUUUUUUCUCUUCUAGGGAGGAAAAACUAUGUAUAUGAUUAACAAGGUAGGGGGAGGAUCACUGGAUACAUGCAUACAUAUGUUUCUUACCUGCUCUGUUUGGGGGCACUUGCUCUUUCCUCUAACACUGCUUCCAUAUGUGGAAAAGACUGCUGGCUCAGGACUCAGAACCUAGCUUCUCCAGCUCUCAUCAAGGCAAGAGUUUUGGGAAAUUAACACAAUCAGCUUUGGGAAUAAAUAUGUCAACAAACAGAGUUUAUGUGUCUGCCGACUGCUCUCCUCAUGAAGAACAUUAUCCAGAGUUGAUCUUUAACUAUUGGAUGGCACAAAGAUAUUAUGCAUCUAUUGAAGACAGAAGAGAAAGUGUAAUCUCUCU